Molecule: ribosomal RNA, 496 nt
Filed under: uncultured bacterium
Lineage: Bacteria
Description: partial 16S ribosomal RNA
Rfam family: Bacterial small subunit ribosomal RNA
Source: RNAcentral
AUGAACGCUGGCGGCGUGCCUAAUACAUGCAAGUCGAGCGAACAGACGAGGAGCUUGCUCCUCUGACGUUAGCGGCGGACGGGUGAGUAACACGUGGAUAACCUACCUAUAAGACUGGGAUAACUUCGGGAAACCGGAGCUAAUACCGGAUAACAUGUUGAACCGCAUGGUUCAACAGUGAAAGACGGUUUUGCUGUCACUUAUAGAUGGAUCCGCGCCGCAUUAGCUAGUUGGUAAGGUAACGGCUUACCAAGGCAACGAUGCGUAGCCGACCUGAGAGGGUGAUCGGCCACACUGGAACUGAGACACGGUCCAGACUCCUACGGGAGGCAGCAGUAGGGAAUCUUCCGCAAUGGGCGAAAGCCUGACGGAGCAACGCCGCGUGAGUGAAGAAGGUCUUCGGAUCGUAAAACUCUGUUAUUAGGGAAGAACAAAUGUGUAAGUAACUAUGCACGUCUUGACGGUACCUAAUCAGAAAGCCACGGCUAACUACGUG